This 441-nucleotide ribosomal RNA is filed under the name Triticum aestivum (bread wheat). RNAcentral describes it as "partial small subunit ribosomal RNA". Lineage: Eukaryota; Viridiplantae; Streptophyta; Magnoliopsida; Poales; Poaceae. The record is from RNAcentral.
AUGAAGGAGCUGCCCGAUGAUGACCCUCGCAGCUUCUCGCAGCAGUGGCACGUGCACUGCGCAUACUGCAAGGGCGCAUAUGAACAGAUCGGCUACCCGAAACUGAAGAUCGACAUACACAGGUCCUGGCUCUUCUUCCCAUGGCACAGGUUGUACCUCUAUUUCUACGAGAGGAUCCUUGGUAAUCUCAUCGACGACGACACCUUUGCACUUCCGUUUUGGAACUGGGACGCGCCCCACGGCAUGACCCUCCCGGUGAUGUACACCAGUGAGUCUUCGCCACUCUAUGACUCUAAGCGUAACCCCGUGCACCUGCCACCGGCCAUUGUCAACCUCGACUACAACCACAAAGACUACCACUCCGGGACCGACCACAAGAUCACAACAGAAGACCCGAUCAAUCUGAACCUCAAGCUCAUGUACCGUCAGGCAAGUAUAUGA